AUACGAAGGUCCCAAGCGUUAUUCGGAAUCACUGGGCGUAAAGAGUACGUAGGCGGUUUGGUAAGUCAGGUGUGAAAUCCCGGAGCUCAACUCCGGAACUGCAUCUGAUACUGCCAGACUUGAGUAAUGGAGAGGCAGGUGGAAUUCUCGGUGUAGCAGUGAAAUGCGUGGAUAUCGAGAGGAAGACCAAUGGCGAAGGCAGCCUGCUGGACAUUUACUGACGCUGAGGUACGAAGGCUAGGGGAGCGAAAGGGAUUAGAUACCCCAGUAGUCC
This 274-nucleotide ribosomal RNA is filed under the name uncultured bacterium. RNAcentral describes it as "partial 16S ribosomal RNA". It matches the Rfam family "Bacterial small subunit ribosomal RNA", at positions 523 to 796 of the family's 1533-position model. The record is from RNAcentral.